CAGUCUGCAACUCGACUGCACGAAGCUGGAAUCGCUAGUAAUCGCGGAUCAGCACGCCGCGGUGAAUACGUUCCCGGGCCUUGUACACACCGCCCGUCACACCAUGGAAGUCUGCAAUGCCCGAAGCCGGUGGCCUAACCACUUAUGUGGAGGGAGCCGUCUAAGGCAGGGCAGAUGACUGGGGUGAAGUCGUAACAAGGUAGC
RNAcentral lists this ribosomal RNA (204 nucleotides) under uncultured bacterium. RNAcentral's name for it is "partial 16S ribosomal RNA". It matches the Rfam family "Bacterial small subunit ribosomal RNA", at positions 1301 to 1500 of the family's 1533-position model. The record is from RNAcentral.